UACAGAGGUCCCAAGCGUUGUUCGGAUUCACUGGGCGUAAAGGGCGCGUAGGUGGUGAGGUAAGUCGGAUGUGAAAUCUCCGGGCUCAACCCGGAAAUGGCAUUGGAAACUACCUUGCUGGAGGAUUUGAGGGGGGAUUGGAAUACUUGGUGUAGCAGUGAAAUGCGUAGAUAUCAAGUGGAACACCAGUGGCGAAGGCGGGUCUCUGGGCCGAUAUUGACGCUGAGGAGCGAAAGCGUGGGGAGCGAACAGG
Molecule: ribosomal RNA, 253 nt
Filed under: uncultured bacterium
Lineage: Bacteria
Description: partial 16S ribosomal RNA
Rfam family: Bacterial small subunit ribosomal RNA
Source: RNAcentral